This 699-nucleotide ribosomal RNA is filed under the name Triticum aestivum (bread wheat). RNAcentral's name for it is "partial small subunit ribosomal RNA". Lineage: Eukaryota; Viridiplantae; Streptophyta; Magnoliopsida; Poales; Poaceae. The record is from RNAcentral.
AUGGAUUACAACCUUUGCAUUGUAUUUUGGAACGUGCGUGGCCUUAAUGCCCCGGCCAAGCGCACCGCCGUUCGCAGCGUGAUCAUCGCUGCUUCUCCUUGUAUUGUGUGCAUCCAAGAGACUAAGAUGGCUUCUCUCUCGUCCUCGCUCGUCACUGAGAUGCUUGGCUCGUCCUUCUCUGAGUUCUUCUUCCUGCCCACGGAUGGGACCCGAGGGGGUAUCUUGCUUGCUUGGCGCCCGGACAUGAUCGCGCUUUCUGAUCCUUACCGCGGCGAGCACCACAUCACCGCCCUGGCCUCCUCUCUCAAUGGCGCCCACCAUUGGUGGCUCACUGGAGUGUAUGGCCCACAAGGAGAUGAUGACAAGAUUGCCUUCCUCGGUGACCUUAGUGAGGUCCGAUCAUUGCGCGCUGGUCCUUGGAUCCUCGAGGGCGACUUUAACAUGAUCUCCGGGGCAGCGGACAAGAAUAACGCUCGGCUCAGUCACCGGGUCAUGUCCCGUUUCCGCUGCUUCGCUGAUGAGGAGAUGCAUGAUAUUUAUUUGCACGGGCGGCGAUAUACUUGGUGGAGCGAGCGUGGCACCUCAACGCUCACGCGCGUCGACAGGGUACUCUGUAAUUCUGCGUGGGAGGCGCUCAACCCUCAUUGCAUACUUCGCUGCCUCUCCUCCACAGCGUCCGAUCAUGCCCUCUCCUUCUAG